UACGGAAGGCAGCAGUGGGGAAUAUUGCACAAUGGGCGCAAGCCUGAUGCAGCCAUGCCGCGUGUAUGAAGAAGGCCUUCGGGUUGUAAAGUACUUUCAGUCGUGAGGAAGGUGUUAAGGUUAAUAACCUUAGCAAUUGACGUUAGCGACAGAAGAAACACCGGCUAACUCCGUGCCAGCAGCCGCGGUAAUACGGAGGGUGCGAGCGUUAAUCGGAAUUACUGGGCGUAAAGGGCACGCAGGCGGUUAAUUAAGUUGGAUGUGAAAUCCCCGGGCUUAACCUGGGAAUGGCAUUCAAGACUGGUUAGCUAGAGUCUUGUAGAGGGGGUAGAAUUCCAUGUGUAGCGGUGAAAUGCGUAGAGAUGUGGAGGAAUACCGGUGGCGAAGGCGGCCCCUGGACAAAGACUGACGCUCAUGUGCGAAAGCGUGGGGAGCAAACAGGGAUUAGAUACC
This 453-nucleotide ribosomal RNA is filed under the name uncultured bacterium. RNAcentral describes it as "bacterial SSU rRNA". It matches the Rfam family "Bacterial small subunit ribosomal RNA", at positions 340 to 786 of the family's 1533-position model. The record is from RNAcentral.